AGGCGCGUAGCUCAGUGGGAGAGCGCUACCUUGACACGGUAGAGGUCGGCGGUUCGAAACCGCCCGCGCCUA
This is a non-coding RNA of Desulfobulbaceae bacterium A2, 72 nucleotides long. The record is from Rfam. Lineage: Bacteria; Pseudomonadati; Thermodesulfobacteriota; Desulfobulbia; Desulfobulbales; Desulfobulbaceae.